Coemansia sp. RSA 2599 is the source of this 85-nucleotide non-coding RNA. NCBI's taxonomy places the organism in Eukaryota, Fungi, Kickxellomycota, Kickxellomycetes, Kickxellales, Kickxellaceae. The record is from the annotation of a GenBank genome assembly.
GGAAAAAUCGCCUAAUGGUAUGGCAAUAGUUUGCUAAACUGUGCAUCUUAAUAGAUGCUUGGGGGUUCGAAUCCCCUUUUUUCCG